Molecule: small nuclear RNA, 194 nt
Filed under: Hucho hucho (huchen)
Lineage: Eukaryota; Metazoa; Chordata; Actinopteri; Salmoniformes; Salmonidae
Description: U2 spliceosomal RNA (ENSHHUG00000037651.1)
Rfam family: U2 spliceosomal RNA
About the family: U2 is a small nuclear RNA (snRNA) component of the spliceosome (involved in pre-mRNA splicing).
Source: Rfam by way of RNAcentral
AUAUCUAUGUAUUGGUUGCAAGCACGGCUAUGAAAGUAAUAAAUAUUUUGUAAUCUGUUCUUAUCAGUUUAAUAUCUGAUACGUCCCCCAUCGGGGGACUACAUAUUAAAUGGAUUUUUCGAACAUGGGGCUUGCUCCGUCCGCUCCACGCAUCGACCCGGUAUUGCAGUACCUCCGGGAACGGUGCACCACUU